This 253-nucleotide ribosomal RNA is filed under the name uncultured prokaryote. Its description in RNAcentral is "partial 16S ribosomal RNA". It matches the Rfam family "Bacterial small subunit ribosomal RNA", at positions 524 to 776 of the family's 1533-position model. The record is from RNAcentral.
UACGUAGGGGGCAAGCGUUGUCCGGAAUCAUUGGGCGUAAAGAGCGUGUAGGCGGUCCGAUAAGUCGGAUGUGAAAGCCCUCGGCUCAACCGGGGAAGUGCACCCGAAACUGCAUGGCUGGAGUCUCGGAGAGGAUCGUGGAAUUCUCGGUGUAGAGGUGAAAUUCGUAGAUAUCGAGAGGAACACCGGUGGCGAAGGCGGCGAUCUGGACGAUGACUGACGCUGAGACGCGAAAGCGUGGGGAGCAAACAGG